AACGAACGCUGGCGGCAGGCUUAACACAUGCAAGUCGAACGCCCCGCAAGGGGAGUGGCAGACGGGUGAGUAACGCGUGGGAAUCUACCCAUCCCUACGGAACAACUCCGGGAAACUGGAGCUAAUACCGUAUACGCCCUACGGGGGAAAGAUUUAUCGGGGAUGGAUGAGCCCGCGUUGGAUUAGCUAGUUGGUGGGGUAAAGGCCUACCAAGGCGACGAUCCAUAGCUGGUCUGAGAGGAUGAUCAGCCACAUUGGGACUGAGACACGGCCCAAACUCCUACGGGAGGCAGCAGUGGGGAAUAUUGGACAAUGGGCGCAAGCCUGAUCCAGCCAUGCCGCGUGAGUGAUGAGGGUCUUAGGAUUGUAAAGCUCUUUCACCGAUGAAGAUAAUGACGGUAGUCGGAGAAGAAGCCCCGGCUAACUUCGUGCCAGCAGCCGCGGUAA
This 447-nucleotide ribosomal RNA is filed under the name uncultured bacterium. RNAcentral's name for it is "partial 16S ribosomal RNA". It matches the Rfam family "Bacterial small subunit ribosomal RNA", at positions 29 to 523 of the family's 1533-position model. The record is from RNAcentral.